CGUAGAUGAAUAUAACAAUAAUCAUUAACCUAAUAUUUACGAAUAAACUAAAUAUGAAUGAGCAUAGUAGGAAUACUAUAGUACUGGAUAUAUGUGUUUACUCCAUAUUAUCAAAGGUUUUCGGUUUGACUUUUUUCGGUUUUUUAUUUUUGUGUGCACCUAUACUAUUUAUGACGGACUACGAUUGUAACGGAUUCAAUUUCGGUUUUUUUUUUUUUUUUUUUGCACUCGAUAGAGUUUCGGGCUGCUGCCGUAAUGGGUUUAUUUUGAACGUUCUAUACCGGACACCGGCCCUCACAUCAUUUAGUUUUUCACUCGUUAAAAACGGUACUGGGGACACCGGGGACCAUACAGUAUAGUAGUAUAGAGGUCAAUAAAAUGCCAAUGAGCUACCGGACGAAAUCGAAUCCGUGUCGUUGUUACGCGACGAGAACGGCCGUAACCAUUAUCCGCCCGGUAACUCUUGUAUAGAUACACUACCAUAAAAAAAAAACCGAUAUGAUUCGCUCCACAGACAGGGACGGUACGGGAUACGUAAUUAUAAUUAUUUAUUUGUACAGUAUAUAAUAAUAUAAGACACAAAUUAUGUUAUCGAUUAAAUUAUAUUGUAUUAAUUAGACUCGUGGGUACCCAAAUGUGAGUCGUCCCUGUACGGCCUAGUUUUCAAAAAGUAGAAAUUAAAUAAAUAAUAUACAUACAAGGUGUCCUAUACAGUGUUUAUGUUUUACUAAUAACUCUGUCAAUAUUCAUUUUAUUUUACAUUUUUUUUUUUUUUAUUAUUAUUCAAUCGGGUUUUGUUCGAAGGUGAAAAUAGGGGAGAAAACAAUAUUAAUAUUCAAUAAAAGAUAAGUAACGUGUAAUUCUAUUAAAAAUUAAUCGUUUUGACGUAAAUUUUUUAGAAAUUAAAACGGCUAUUACUAAAAAACCCAUUGAUCAAAUAUGAAUGCAUGUUUCAUUCAAUUCUUUUAAUAUAAUGUCUUUUACAAAAUAGCUAUUUUGAAAAUUUAAAAAAAAAUUUAUAAAAUAAAAAGUUAUUUAUUUUUUCAAUAAUUGAGGACCGACUAAAUAUGCGUUUUUGGAAAACUACAGGACGACGGUCAUCUGCUAAAAUGCAUGAAUGCGCCAUAAAAUAUAGAAGAUAGAAAUAAUCCACAUGAUAAACUGACAUAUCGAGAAAUCGAUUUUAUAAAAUACUGGUCUAAGAUAAGCAUAUAAGUUUUGUUAACUUCACGAAAGAAGAAGAAGAAUAAUUAAGGGAAAAAAAUAC
Non-coding RNA from Cinara cedri, 1267 nucleotides. NCBI's taxonomy places the organism in Eukaryota, Metazoa, Arthropoda, Insecta, Hemiptera, Aphididae. The record is from the annotation of a GenBank genome assembly.